Long non-coding RNA from Hippoglossus stenolepis (Pacific halibut), 312 nucleotides. RefSeq lists it as uncharacterized. The transcript is spliced from 3 exons. The record is from RefSeq and is a predicted model, not a curated record. Lineage: Eukaryota; Metazoa; Chordata; Actinopteri; Pleuronectiformes; Pleuronectidae.
CCAUGGGACCUUAGGUUUCACCACCUCAGGACUUUAAAAGUGGGGUCCGAGGGCCACCCAGGGGUCCUUUAAGGAUGUGGGACUCCACUGUAUAUCCAGAAAGAUGAGAAGGGGUUUCAUUUUGCAGGAUUUGUAUCCAAUGGAAAUAAUGAAAUUUCCGGAAUGAUGGGAUUAAGCAGCUGAAGCACAGACAAGUCAUUUCAACUGUAAAUCAAGAACAACAAACUCCAGCAGGAGGUCCUUGGCCCCAGCACCCUCUGGAGGAAGUUAGAAGAUCUUUCAGGACUGAAAUUGACAACUACAGGGUAUGUC